Long non-coding RNA from Molossus molossus (Pallas's mastiff bat), 461 nucleotides. RefSeq lists it as uncharacterized. NCBI's taxonomy places the organism in Eukaryota, Metazoa, Chordata, Mammalia, Chiroptera, Molossidae. The transcript has 3 exons. The record is from RefSeq and is a predicted model, not a curated record.
CAGGAAGAAAUAGGAGGAAAUUACCUUAAUACAAUAAAGAAAAUAUACAAGAAAACGUCAGCUAACAUCGUAUUUCAAGACUGAGUGCUUCCCCCUGCGAUCAGGAACAAGUAGGUUUGGGAGGCCAGCAAGGGUCACAGAAGAGACACACACACAUCUGGAAAAUGAAAAGAGAGGAGAAGGUUUGAGCAAGGACCCACACACCAGAAAGGGCCUUUGAAUCCUUUCUCUCUUCUACUAGACAAGUCUUUCCCUCGUGGAGGGAAGCUGUCCCCUUCUCUCGUCCUCCUGACUCAGUGCCGACCUGCAACCCUUUCUGCACCUUGCGGCCAGGUGACCCCCCAGGACACAAAUGGGAUCAAGUCAUUUCCCGGCUGAUACAAUUGCUGGUGUUCCUCGCCCUCGACCGUGACACUGAAAGUGUACGACGUGGUCAGGAGCCAGCCCAACAACGUUGUUUC